GCCCCCAUAGUUUAAUGGAUAGAACGAGGUCCUCCUAAGACUUAAAUAUCGGUUCGAUUCCGGUUGGGGGUG
This 72-nucleotide transfer RNA is filed under the name Ruminococcus sp. Its description in RNAcentral is "tRNA-Arg". It matches the Rfam family "tRNA". Rfam says of the family: Transfer RNA (tRNA) molecules are approximately 80 nucleotides in length. Their secondary structure includes four short double-helical elements and three loops (D, anti-codon, and T loops). Lineage: Bacteria; Bacillati; Bacillota; Clostridia; Eubacteriales; Oscillospiraceae. RNAcentral also lists the same sequence under 1 other name. The record is from RNAcentral.